UACAGAGGGUGCGAGCGUUAAUCGGAAUUACUGGGCGUAAAGCGUGCGUAGACGGUUAUUUAAGUCGGAUGUGAAAGCCCCGGGCUCAACCUGGGAAUUGCAUUCGAGACUGAAUAGCUAGGGUGCGGUAGAGGGAAGCGGAAUUUCCGGUGUAGCGGUGAAAUGCGUAGAUAUCUGGAGGAACACCGGUGGCGAAGGCGGCAUCCUGGACCAACACUGACACUGAGGAGCGAAAGCGUGGGGAGCGAACAGG
This 253-nucleotide ribosomal RNA is filed under the name uncultured bacterium. RNAcentral describes it as "partial 16S ribosomal RNA". It matches the Rfam family "Bacterial small subunit ribosomal RNA", at positions 524 to 776 of the family's 1533-position model. The record is from RNAcentral.